GGUUAAGCGACUAAGCGUACACGGUGGAUGCCCUGGCAGUCAGAGGCGAUGAAGGGCGUGCUAAUCUGCGAUAAGCGCCGGUAAGGUGAUAUGAACCGUUAUAACCGGCGAUACCCGAAUGGGGAAACCCAGUGUGACUCGUCACACUAUCAUUAACUGAAUCCAUAGGUUAAUGAGGCGAACCGGGGGAACUGAAACAUCUAAGUACCCCGAGGAAAAGAAAUCAACCGAGAUUCCCCCAGUAGCGGCGAGCGAACGGGGAGGAGCCCAGAGCCUGAAUCAGCAUGUGUGUUAGUGGAAGCGUCUGGAAAGGCGCGCGAUACAGGGUGACAGCCCCGUACACAAAAGCGCAUGUGCUGUGAGCUCGAUGAGUAGGGCGGGACACGUGGUAUCCUGUCUGAAUAUGGGGGGACCAUCCUCCAAGGCUAAAUACUCCUGACUGACCGAUAGUGAACCAGUACCGUGAGGGAAAGGCGAAAAGAACCCCGGCGAGGGGAGUGAAAAAGAACCUGAAACCGUGUACGUACAAGCAGUGGGAGCCCCACCACUAAGCCAGUGGUGAACUCCACAUACGCAUCCUUUGCUGAGGAUACGGUUAACGGAGCGAAAGCGACGUUCAACCUCAAAAGAAGCAGAGGGGGCUUAGUGGUGGGGUGACUGCGUACCUUUUGUAUAAUGGGUCAGCGACUUAUAUUCUGUAGCAAGGUUAACCGAAUAGGGGAGCCGGAGGGAAACCGAGUCUUAACCGGGCGUUAAGUUGCAGGGUAUAGACCCGAAACCCGGUGAUCUAGCCAUGGGCAGGUUGAAGGUUGGGUAACACUAACUGGAGGACCGAACCGACUAAUGUUGAAAAAUUAGCGGAUGACCUGUGGCUGGGGGUGAAAGGCCAAUCAAACCGGGAGAUAGCUGGUUCUCCCCGAAAGCUAUUUAGGUAGCGCCUCGUGAAUUCAUCUCCGGGGGUAGAGCACUGUUUCGGCUAGGGGGCCAUCCCGGCUUACCAACCCGAUGCAAACUGCGAAUACCGGAGAAUGUUAUCACGGGAGACACACGGCGGGUGCUAACGUCCGUCGUGAAGAGGGAAACAACCCAGACCGCCAGCUAAGGUCCCAAAGUCAUGGUUAAGUGGGAAACGAUGUGGGAAGGCCCAGACAGCCAGGAUGUUGGCUUAGAAGCAGCCAUCAUUUAAAGAAAGCGUAAUAGCUCACUGGUCGAGUCGGCCUGCGCGGAAGAUGUAACGGGGCUAAACCAUGCACCGAAGCUGCGGCAGCGACACUCAGGCGUUGUUGGGUAGGGGAGCGUUCUGUAAGCCUGUGAAGGUGGCCUGUGAGGGUUGCUGGAGGUAUCAGAAGUGCGAAUGCUGACAUAAGUAACGAUAAAGCGGGUGAAAAGCCCGCUCGCCGGAAGACCAAGGGUUCCUGUCCAACGUUAAUCGGGGCAGGGUGAGUCGACCCCUAAGGCGAGGCCGAAAGGCGUAGUCGAUGGGAAACGGGUUAAUAUUCCCGUACUUGGUGUUACUGCGAAGGGGGGACGGAGAAGGCUAUGUUGGCCGGGCGACGGUUGUCCCGGUUUAAGCGUGUAGGUGUGUGUUCCAGGUAAAUCCGGUUCACUUUAACACUGAGGCGUGAUGACGAGGCACUACGGUGCUGAAGCAACAAAUGCCCUGCUUCCAGGAAAAGCCUCUAAGCAUCAGGUAACAUCAAAUCGUACCCCAAACCGACACAGGUGGUCAGGUAGAGAAUACCAAGGCGCUUGAGAGAACUCGGGUGAAGGAACUAGGCAAAAUGGUGCCGUAACUUCGGGAGAAGGCACGCUGACACGUAGGUGAAGUGAUUUACUCAUGGAGCUGAAGUCAGUCGAAGAUACCAGCUGGCUGCAACUGUUUAUUAAAAACACAGCACUGUGCAAACACGAAAGUGGACGUAUACGGUGUGACGCCUGCCCGGUGCCGGAAGGUUAAUUGAUGGGGUUAUCCGUAAGGAGAAGCUCUUGAUCGAAGCCCCGGUAAACGGCGGCCGUAACUAUAACGGUCCUAAGGUAGCGAAAUUCCUUGUCGGGUAAGUUCCGACCUGCACGAAUGGCGUAAUGAUGGCCAGGCUGUCUCCACCCGAGACUCAGUGAAAUUGAACUCGCUGUGAAGAUGCAGUGUACCCGCGGCAAGACGGAAAGACCCCGUGAACCUUUACUAUAGCUUGACACUGAACACUGGUCCUUGAUGUGCAGGAUAGGUGGGAGGCUUUGAAGCGCGGACGCCAGUUCGUGUGGAGCCAUCCUUGAAAUACCACCCUUUAAUGGCUGGUGUUCUAACGUAGACCCGUGAUCCGGGUUGCGGACAGUGUCUGGUGGGUAGUUUGACUGGGGCGGUCUCCUCCUAAAGAGUAACGGAGGAGCACGAAGGUUAGCUAAUCCUGGUCGGACAUCAGGAGGUUAGUGCAAAGGCAUAAGCUAGCUUGACUGCGAGCGUGACGGCGCGAGCAGGUGCGAAAGCAGGUCUUAGUGAUCCGGUGGUUCUGAAUGGAAGGGCCAUCGCUCAACGGAUAAAAGGUACUCCGGGGAUAACAGGCUGAUACCGCCCAAGAGUUCAUAUCGACGGCGGUGUUUGGCACCUCGAUGUCGGCUCAUCACAUCCUGGGGCUGAAGUAGGUCCCAAGGGUAUGGCUGUUCGCCAUUUAAAGUGGUACGCGAGCUGGGUUUAGAACGUCGUGAGACAGUUCGGUCCCUAUCUGCCGUGGGCGCUGGAGAACUGAGGGGGGCUGCUCCUAGUACGAGAGGACCGGAGUGGACGCAUCACUGGUGUUCGGGUUGUCAUGCCAAUGGCACUGCCCGGUAGCUAAAUGCGGAAGAGAUAAGUGCUGAAAGCAUCUAAGCACGAAACUUGCCCCGAGAUGAGUUCUCCCUGAGACUUAGAGUCUCCUGAAGGAACGUUGAAGACGACGACGUUGAUAGGCCGGGUGUGUAAGCGCAGCGAUGCGUUGAGCUAACCGGUACUAAUGAACCGUGAGGCUUAACCUU
This 3009-nucleotide ribosomal RNA is filed under the name Salmonella enterica subsp. enterica serovar Goldcoast. RNAcentral's name for it is "23S ribosomal RNA". It matches the Rfam family "Bacterial large subunit ribosomal RNA". The record is from RNAcentral. Lineage: Bacteria; Pseudomonadati; Pseudomonadota; Gammaproteobacteria; Enterobacterales; Enterobacteriaceae.